RNAcentral lists this ribosomal RNA (292 nucleotides) under uncultured bacterium. RNAcentral describes it as "partial 16S ribosomal RNA". It matches the Rfam family "Bacterial small subunit ribosomal RNA", at positions 505 to 796 of the family's 1533-position model. The record is from RNAcentral.
GUGUCAGCCGCCGCGGUAACACGGGGGGAGCGAACGUUGUUCGGAAUCACUGGGCGUAAAGGGCGUGUAGGCGGUUCGGUAAGUGGAAUGUGAAAUCCCCCGGCUUACCCGGGGAACUGCAUCCCAUACUGCUGGACUUGAGUGCGGGAGAGGAUGGAGGAAUUCCUGGUGUAGCGGUGAAAUGCGUAGAUAUCAGGAGGAACACCUGUGGCGAAGGCGUCCAUCUGGCCCGUUACUGACGCUGAGGCGCGAAAGCUAGGGGAGCAAACGGGAUUAGAAACCCGCGUAGUCC